This 253-nucleotide ribosomal RNA is filed under the name uncultured bacterium. Its description in RNAcentral is "partial 16S ribosomal RNA". It matches the Rfam family "Bacterial small subunit ribosomal RNA", at positions 524 to 776 of the family's 1533-position model. The record is from RNAcentral.
UACGUAGGGUGCAAGCGUUAAUCGGAAUUACUGGGCGUAAAGCGUGCGCAGGCGGUUAUGUAAGACCGAUGUGAAAUGCCCGGGCUUAACCUGGGAACUGCAUUUGUGACUGCAUGGCUAGAGUUUGGCAGAGGGGGGUAGAAUUCCACGUGUAGCAGUGAAAUGCGUAGAGAUGCGGAGGAACACCGAUGGCGAAGGCAGCCCCCUGGGCUAGCACUGACGCUCAGGCACGAAAGCGUGGGGAGCAAACAGG